GACGAACGCUGGCGGCGUGCUUAACACAUGCAAGUCGUACGGUAAGGCCCUUUCGGGGGUACACGAGUGGCGAACGGGUGAGUAACACGUGAGUAACCUGCCCACAACUUUGGGAUAACGCUAGGAAACUGGUGCUAAUACUGGAUAUGUGCCCCUGCUGCAUGGUGGGGGUUGGAAAGCUCCGGCGGUUGUGGAUGGACUCGCGGCCUAUCAGCUUGUUGGUGGGGUAGUGGCCUACCAAGGCGGCGACGGGUAGCCGGCCUGAGAGGGUGACCGGCCACAGUGGGACUGAGAUACGGCCCAGACUCCGACGGGAGGCAGCAGUGGGGAAUAUUGCACAAUGGGCGCAAGCCUGAUGCAGCAACGCCGCGGGCGGGAUGACGGCCUUCGGGUUGUAAACCGCUUUCAGCAGGGACGAAGCUUUUUGUGACGGUACCUGCAGAAGAAGCACCGGCUAACUACGUG
RNAcentral lists this ribosomal RNA (465 nucleotides) under uncultured bacterium. RNAcentral describes it as "partial 16S ribosomal RNA". It matches the Rfam family "Bacterial small subunit ribosomal RNA", at positions 28 to 507 of the family's 1533-position model. The record is from RNAcentral.